GAUGAACGCUGGCGGCGUGCCUAAUACAUGCAAGUCGAGCGAACAGACGAGGAGCUUGCUCCUUCGACGUUAGCGGCGGACGGGUGAGUAACACGUAGGUAACCUACCUAUAAGACUGGGAUAACUUCGGGAAACCGGAGCUAAUACCGGAUAAUAUUUCGAACCGCAUGGUUCGAUAGUGAAAGAUGGCUUUGCUAUCACUUAUAGAUGGACCUGCGCCGUAUUAGCUAGUUGGUAAGGUAACGGCUUACCAAGGCAACGAUACGUAGCCGACCUGAGAGGGUGAUCGGCCACACUGGAACUGAGACACGGUCCAGACUCCUACGGGAGGCAGCAGUAGGGAAUCUUCCGCAAUGGGCGAAAACCAGACGGAGCAACGCCGCGUGAGUGAUGAAGGUCUCCGGAUCGUAAAACUCUGUUAUUAGGGAAGAACAAACGUGUAAGUAACUGUGCACGUCUUGACGGUACCUAAUCAGAAAGCCACGGCUAACUACGUGCCAGCAGCCGCGGUAAUACGUAGGUGGCAAGCGUUAUCCGGAAUUAUUGGGCGUAAAGCGCGCGUAGGCGGUUUUUUAAGUCUGAUGUGAAAGCCCACGGCUCAACCGUGGAGGGUCAUUGGAAACUGGAAAACUUGAGUGCAGAAGAGGAAAGUGGAAUUCCAUGUGUAGCGGUGAAAUGCGCAGAGAUAUGGAGGAACACCAGUGGCGAAGGCGACUUUCUGGUCUGUAACUGACGCUGAUGUGCGAAAGCGUGGGGAUCAAACAGG
RNAcentral lists this ribosomal RNA (766 nucleotides) under uncultured Caryophanaceae bacterium. Its description in RNAcentral is "bacterial SSU rRNA". It matches the Rfam family "Bacterial small subunit ribosomal RNA", at positions 28 to 776 of the family's 1533-position model. The record is from RNAcentral. Lineage: Bacteria; Bacillati; Bacillota; Bacilli; Caryophanales; Caryophanaceae.